GUACUAGAAGCUGCAAUUGGACUAUUUUGUUGCUCUACAUAAACAGAGCCUUAAUCUAGCUUUAAGGCUCAAAGAAAGACUCUACAGGUGUCCACUUGGACUUCACUGCCUUCGAGAAGACUCUGCUGGUUCUUCUUAGACCAGGUUAUGUGCCCUUUCAUGUACUCCUUACCUUGGUACUUAUCAGAAUCAUAACUGAAGACCAAAACCACCAAGUACUCCUGCCGCUGCCCUGCCGCCUUUACUGAGAGGCACCCCUGACAGAAACCUUUAGCGGCUGCCACUCCAGCACCCGGG
This 297-nucleotide long non-coding RNA is filed under the name Felis catus (domestic cat). Its description in RNAcentral is "lncRNA (ENSFCAG00000047522.1)". The record is from RNAcentral. Lineage: Eukaryota; Metazoa; Chordata; Mammalia; Carnivora; Felidae.